Molecule: non-coding RNA, 116 nt
Filed under: Spumella elongata
Lineage: Eukaryota; Chrysophyceae; Chromulinales; Chromulinaceae
Source: RNAcentral
CGAAUCAAACAUCCACGCAGCACCAACCUCUCCAACAAAUCUCAUGGCGUCCUCCGGUUUUCCGGCCCUUCCCAUCGAGAGUAAGUUCGGCCAACAAUUGGCCUCUUGUAAUCGGC